Molecule: ribosomal RNA, 252 nt
Filed under: uncultured bacterium
Lineage: Bacteria
Description: partial 16S ribosomal RNA
Rfam family: Bacterial small subunit ribosomal RNA
Source: RNAcentral
UACGUAGGCAGCAAGCGUUGUUCGGAGUUACUGGGCGUAAAGAGUGCGUAGGUGGUGCCCUAAGUCUGUUGUGAAAUCUCCCGGCUUAACUGGGAGGGUGCGGUGGAAACUGGGGUGCUUGAGUGUGGGAGAGGUAAGCGAAUUCCUGGUGUAGCGGUGAAAUGCGUAGAUAUCAGGAGGAACACCUGUGGUGUAGACAGCUUACUGGACCACUUCUGACGCUGAGACACGAAAGCGUGGGUAGCAAACAGG